RNAcentral lists this long non-coding RNA (4048 nucleotides) under Nicotiana benthamiana. Its description in RNAcentral is "long non-coding RNA (NBEN_LNC022397)". The record is from RNAcentral. Lineage: Eukaryota; Viridiplantae; Streptophyta; Magnoliopsida; Solanales; Solanaceae.
GAAUGUAAGUGGUAUGUAAAAAAAUUAGAGUUAGAGUUAAAGUGGAAGAAGGAGGCUAAGAAGAUCAUGAUAAAUGGUUAGGAUUAUUUUUAUUUGAAUCUUUUAAGAUUUAUACAAUUUUAGUAUAUUAUUACUUAUUAUUAUUAUUAUUAUUAUUAUUAUUAUUAUUAUUAUUAUUAUUAUUAUCUUUGCCCUUUAAUUUCGUUAGUUAUUAUUAUUAUUAUUAUUAUUAUUAUUAUUAUUAUUAUUAUUAUUAUUAUUAUUAUUUUUUAUAAUAACUUUUACUUAUUUUUUAUUAAUGGAGAAAUUAUAAAGUAAAAUGCAUAGUUAAAAUAUUAGUUAGCUACCUUAUACUUAAAUAUAUAUAUACAUAAGAAAAUUAAAUAUUUACAUUGUUGUUUAAAUUAUCUAAGAAAAAUGUUAUAGCUUACAUUUAAUAUUCUAAUUAGAUUUUUUUUUAAUUUUUUUAUUUAAAAGUAGGAGUAUAACUUAUACUCUAAGAAUGUGAAUUUAUAGUUAAUAUAUUUUUUUUUCUAAAACAAAACCUACAAAGAGUAAGAUAAAAGUUUUAAAAAUAUUAAGAUUAAUCGUAAAAGAAAUAUUUACAUUAAACUAGUAUAGAAUUUGAGAAUAGGUAAAAAUUAGGUGUUCAGGGAAUAGAAGUAGCCAAGAAGAUCCAGGAACAAGUGGGUGCUCUCAUGACCAGAAUGCAACAAGUAAUUUACUCUUAAUGUUUUUAUACUCUUCCUUUUAGAUAUUUCUUCUUCUUAGCGACUUGAAUCAUCUUCUAUCCUUUUUCACAAUUCUAUUAUUCAUUUUCUCCUUCUUUAUUUAUCUUUAUGACAAUAAGUUAUUGAAUUGGAAUAUGUUCUGGUGCGAUUCUGAAAUUCUGAAAUAUAUGUUGUGGUGCGAUUAUGAAAGUCUGAAUAUGCAAAAUCUGGUUUCAUGGCUGUUUUUGUCUGCAUAACUAAAGACAUGUACAUGUGUAUUUGAUAACAUGCAGACUUAUAUGUAUCAACUUGUUUUAAAUUAAAUUCUAUGCUUUGGAGGCCUUAAAAAUCUCAUUUAGAGUCGCUUUGAUUUGCGUGCAUAGUCUGGACGUGUAGCCGGAAAGCUUAAAUAUGAAAUUCUGUGAAAAAAUACUAAGUUUUAAUUUUAAAAUGAAUAAAUUGACUUCGGUCAAUAUUUUGGGAAAAAGGACCCAGACCCGUGAUUUGAUGGUCCUGGAAGGUCCGUAGAAAAAUAUAGGAUUUGGGUGUAUGCCCAGAAUCAAAUUCCGAGGUCCCAAACCCAAGAAAUAAAUUUUUUUGUAAAUUUAUUUUUUGAAAAUGUUUAAGGAAAAUUGAAAAUGAAAUCUGAUUAGAAAGCGUUGGUAUCGGGCACGUAUUUUGGUUCCGGUACAGGUCUUAUAUGUGGUUUGGGUUAUUUAUGUAAAAUUUGAUUAAAAACGGACGUCGUUUGACGUGGUUCGGACUUGAAUUGCUAAAUUUGAUUCUUGAUGAAGUUUGAGAAAAAAAUUCUUGAUUUUGAGGUUUGAUUCAUUAUUUUUGAGGUUAUUUUGAUGAUUUGAUCGCACGGAUAGGUUUGUAUGAUAUUGUUGAGUUAGUACAUAUAUUUGGUUAGGAACCCCGAGGGCUCAGGUGUAUUUCGGAAGGUUUUAGACUUAAGAAAAAGUUGCAGAAAUAGCAAUUCUGGGGUUUUGAGAGUUAGUGCUAUGCGAUCGCAUAGGCAGUCUCGCGAUCGCAUAGUGUAAGAUUUUAAGUGACAUGUUUUGUUCUAUAUGAUCGCAUAGGUCCUUUCGCGAUCGCGUAAAGUAACCACAACCUAUUCUACGCGAUCACAUUCUUCUUCCGCGGUCGCGAUGCAUUAAACUAAAUCUGGGAAGCGAAGUCCUUUUCUUCUAUGCGAUCGAGUGCUUGGUUCGCGAUCGAAAUGACCAACUUUUCCUUACUUUAUGCUAUUGCAUGACCUUCUUCGCGACCGCAUAGACCAUUUAUGCCCAGUAAUUUUAAAAGACCCAAAACAGUAGUGUUACAGGAUUUAUCAAAAUUUCACAAAACCUCUUCUUCUCCAAAGUAGUGAUUCUUCACCAUAAUCUUUUGGGUUAGAAAUCUUUAGCUUAUCUUCUUCCAUUUUCAUCAACUUCUAUUGAAUUUUUAAACCCAAAACAUGUGAUUAAGGGUAGAAAAUUAGGGAUUGGAUAGAGUUAGUGCCUUUUGAUUAUUCUUGAUUUAGACCUUGUUUUGGGGUCGAAUUUGAAAAUAAAUUAUAUAUUCGGGCUCGUGGAUGAAUGGGUGAUUGGAUUUUGGUUCGAACCUCGUGUUUUGACUAAGCGGAUUUGGGAGUCGAUUUUUAGGUUUUUCGGAAGAAUGAUUGGAAAGCUAUAAUUAGGCAUUGGAUUCAAAUUGUUUAGCAUUUAUUGAUGUUAUGUAGUCAUUUAUGUAUAGAUUCAAUCGAUUUGGAGCCAAAUUCGAGAGGAAAAACGAUAACUGAGGGUUGAGUUGGCCGUGAAAGUUCGAGGUAAGUGUUUGGUCUAACCUUAGCUUGAGGGAUUAGGACUUGUGUCAUAUUUGAUAUUUGUUUUUUGUGGAGUACGACGUAUGGGCAUGGUGACGAGUAUAUAUACAUUGGUGUCAAGCAUGACCGUGAGUCUUAUACUAUGAUUUUCAUGAUUUCGUUGUAUUAUUCUAGCCUUGGUGAAGAUUUCUAUUUGCUGUAUUAAGUUCUGGUAAGAAUUGUGACUUAUGAACAUUAAAGAGCGAUGACUCCAGUUGUAUAAUAAAUUGUGAAAGUAUAAGUGAUAAUUGAAACUCUAGAGCAUUGGCUUGAGUUGUGAAGUGAAUUGUAAAGUAAAAGUGAGAAAGAGAAGAGACCAUUAUAUUGCCUCUUUGCCGGUUUAUUGUUGAGUUGUGGUUCCCUUGCAUUGUGUUCUUAGUUGAUAUUACGGAUGCUUAGCUUGAUGAUUCCUUGUGUUAGGUGUUGUAAUACGUUUAGUUAUAGUUAAAGUAGUUAGAUGUUGAAAUGAGAUUGAUUCUAGCUGAAGUAGUUUGGUGUUGUGACAAGUUUAAUUAUCGUCGAGUUAGUUAGGUGCCGGAACGAGUUUGGUUAUAGUUGAGGUAGUUAGAUGUUGUAGGCAUGUGAUUUUUGACCCUCAUCGAAAUUUAAUCCUUUUUAGCAUGUAAAUAUUUAAUUUAGGCCUAAUAUCUCUAUUUCAUCUAAUUUUGACGCUUUAACUUAUUUCGUCACAAAAAAUACAAAUUAUAAAAAAUAUUUUAGUUUAUGUAUCUUUCGUAAAUUUAAAUAAAAAAAUAUAUCUUCUUUUAAUUAUUGGUCAAAAUUAGUAAGUUAGUACUAAUUUUUCUUUAGUAGUUUUUCAUUCUUUUUGUUUCGUUAAAGGGAAAUAGUUCUUUAGUUAGUUCAUCUAGUUAUUUUGAUUUAGUAGAAUAGUAUUUUAUUUCAACAAUUCGUCUAUUAUUUGAAAAAAAAAGAAGAAAAUGAAAAGAAGUGAUAACUUUCCUAUUCUAGCUUUUGAAAAUUUUCGCUUCAAAUACAAUAAUGUGCCUAUGCAAUCCAUUUCUUAUACCUUUCAUUCAUUAUAUGGAAUCAGCAAUUUCAAUUUCCAAAAGGUGGUGCACUCGUGAGAAUGACAGUAAAUAAUCUCAUAAUGGCUAGAGUUUUAGUAAUUGAAAUGUGAUUGAAUUCUUUCUUCAUGAAAUAUGUGAUUCAAGCUUUUUUUGGUGAAUAUAUUUAAAACUGAAGCAUGCUCGAUUGUCUAGUUAACGAAUCACUCAAUCCGCUUAAAUCAUGAAGAGGAAUGACUGUUGGUUCUUCAAAUUUGGUCUAUGAUGAAAUCAUGUGUUGCAAUAUUGGCAUGUCUGCUGACUUGGAAUGAUGAGGGUAUAAAGUCGAAUUGAUUUUUGUUGUAAAAAUGGCUAUCUUCAUAAAUUGCUUAGACAUGAUUAAUCUAGCAUUGAUUUGUAAAUUGUUUCAAGUGGUUUCUCAAGUCAAUACUAAUGCACUGCCACAAUAACCAUUUGGUACAGUUAUG